This 463-nucleotide ribosomal RNA is filed under the name uncultured bacterium. RNAcentral's name for it is "partial 16S ribosomal RNA". It matches the Rfam family "Bacterial small subunit ribosomal RNA", at positions 28 to 507 of the family's 1533-position model. The record is from RNAcentral.
GAUGAACGCUGACAGAAUGCUUAACACAUGCAAGUCUUUGGCGAAGCUGUGCUUGCACAGCCUAGCCAAGGCGGACGGGUGAGUAACGCGUAAGGAACUUGCCCUGCAGUCAGGGAUAACAGACGGAAACGACUGAUAAGACCUGGUAAAGUCAGGCGGACUCAUGUCCAGCCUGAUGAAAAGAGAUGCUGCAGGAGAGCCUUGCGUCCUAUUAGCUUGUUGGUAGGGUAACGGCCCACCAAGGCGAUGAUAGGUAGCCGGCCUGAGAGGAUGGACGGCCACAAGGGGACUGAGAUACGGCCCUUACUCCUACGGGAGGCAGCAGUGGAGAAUAUUGGACAAUGGGGGCAACCCUGAUCCAGCAAUUCUGUGUGCACGAUGAAGGUUUUCGGAUUGUAAAGUGCUUUCAGCAGGGAAGAAAAAAAUGACGGUACCUGCAGAAGAAGCGACGGCUAAAUACGUG